CCCUUAGAUGUCCUGGGCCGCACGCGCGUUACACUGAUGCAUUCAACGAGCUUAUAACCUUGGCCGAGAGGCCUGGGCAAUCUUGUUAACGUGCAUCGUGAUAGGGAUAGAUUAUUGAAAUUAUUAAUCUUGAACGAGGAAUUCCUAGUAAACGCAGAUCAUCAAUCUGCAUUGAUUACGUCCCUGCCCUUUGUACACACCGCCCGUCGCUACUACUGAUUGGACGUUUAAGCAAGAUUUUUAAACACUGACAGUGUGUAGUUCACGCUAUACUACAGUGAGAAGAAGAAGAUCGAGCUUACUUGUCUAGAGGAAGUAAAAGUCGUAACA
This 330-nucleotide ribosomal RNA is filed under the name uncultured eukaryote. RNAcentral describes it as "partial 18S ribosomal RNA". It matches the Rfam family "Eukaryotic small subunit ribosomal RNA", at positions 1470 to 1796 of the family's 1831-position model. The record is from RNAcentral.